UCGUAGUUGAAUUUCGGGAUUGACACAUCGGUCGUGCCUUAAGGGGUAUGAACUGGUGUAGUCAGCUUCUCACCUUCUGGAGAACCGCGAUGUCCUUAAUUGGGUGCCGCGAGGAACCAGGACCUUUACUUUGAAAAAAUUAGAGUGUUUAAAGCAGGCAUUUUGCUUGAAUACAUUAGCAUGGAAUAAUAAAAUAGGACGGAUGGUUCUAUUUUGUUGGUUUCUAAGAUCACCGUAAUGAUUAAUAGGGAUAGUUGGGGGCAUUAGUAUUCAAUUGUCAGAGGUGAAAUUCUUGGAUUUAUUGAAGGCUAACUACUGCGGAAGCAUUUGCCAAGGAUGUUUUCAUUAAUCAAGAACGAAAGUUAGGGGAUCGAAGACGAUCAGAUACCGUCGUAGUCUUAACCAUAAACUACGCCGACUAGGAAUCAGACGAUGUUAAUUUUUAAUGACUCGUUCGGCGCCUUACGGGAAAC
This 473-nucleotide ribosomal RNA is filed under the name uncultured Entrophospora. Its description in RNAcentral is "SSU rRNA". It matches the Rfam family "Eukaryotic small subunit ribosomal RNA", at positions 628 to 1098 of the family's 1831-position model. Lineage: Eukaryota; Fungi; Glomeromycota; Glomeromycetes; Entrophosporales; Entrophosporaceae. The record is from RNAcentral.